RNAcentral lists this ribosomal RNA (253 nucleotides) under uncultured bacterium. RNAcentral describes it as "partial 16S ribosomal RNA". It matches the Rfam family "Bacterial small subunit ribosomal RNA", at positions 524 to 776 of the family's 1533-position model. The record is from RNAcentral.
UACGUAGGGUGCAAGCGUUAAUCGGAAUUACUGGGCGUAAAGCGUGCGCAGGCGGUUCUAUAAGACAGAUGUGAAAUCCCCGGGCUCAACCUGGGAACUGCAUUUGUGACUGUAGAGCUGGAGUGCGGCAGAGGGGGAUGGAAUUCCGCGUGUAGCAGUGAAAUGCGUAGAUAUGCGGAGGAACACCGAAGGCGAAGGCAAUCCCCUGGGCCUGCACUGACGCUCAUGCACGAAAGCGUGGGGAGCAAACAGG